UACAGAGGUCUCAAGCGUUGUUCGGAUUCAUUGGGCGUAAAGGGUGCGUAGGUGGCGCCGUAAGUCAGGUGUGAAAUUUCGGAGCUUAACUCCGAAACUGCAUUUGAUACUGCGGUGCUUGAGGACUGGAGAGGAGACUGGAAUUCACGGUGUAGCAGUGAAAUGCGUAGAUAUCGGAAGGAACAUCAGUGGCGAAAGCGGCUUCCUGGACCAGUACCGACGUUCAGGCACGAAAGCGUGGGGAGCAAACAGG
This 253-nucleotide ribosomal RNA is filed under the name uncultured bacterium. RNAcentral describes it as "partial 16S ribosomal RNA". It matches the Rfam family "Bacterial small subunit ribosomal RNA", at positions 524 to 776 of the family's 1533-position model. The record is from RNAcentral.